Molecule: ribosomal RNA, 483 nt
Filed under: uncultured bacterium
Lineage: Bacteria
Description: partial 16S ribosomal RNA
Rfam family: Bacterial small subunit ribosomal RNA
Source: RNAcentral
AUUGAACGCUAGCGGGAUGCUUUACACAUGCAAGUCGAACGGCAGCGCGGACUUCGGUCUGGCGGCGAGUGGCGAACGGGUGAGUAAUGUAUCGGAACGUGCCCAGUAGCGUGGGAUAACUACGCGAAAGCGUAGCUAAUACCGCAUACGCCCUACGGGGGAAAGCAGGGGAUCGUAAGACCUUGCACUAUUGGAGCGGCCGAUAUCGGAUUAGCUAGUUGGUGAGGUAACGGCUCACCAAGGCGACGAUCCGUAGCUGGUUUGAGAGGACGACCAGCCACACUGGGACUGAGACACGGCCCAGACUCCUACGGGAGGCAGCAGUGGGGAAUUUUGGACAAUGGGGGCAACCCUGAUCCAGCCAUCCCGCGUGUGCGAUGAAGGCCUUCGGGUUGUAAAGCACUUUUGGCAGGAAAGAAACGUCGCGGGCUAAUACCCCGUGGAACUGACGGUACCUGCAGAAUAAGCACCGGCUAACUACGU